This 250-nucleotide unclassified non-coding RNA is filed under the name plant metagenome. Its description in RNAcentral is "partial contains small subunit ribosomal RNA, internal transcribed spacer 1, and 5.8S ribosomal RNA". The stretch from base 1 to 53 matches the Rfam family "Eukaryotic small subunit ribosomal RNA", at positions 1778 to 1831 of the family's 1831-position model. The record is from RNAcentral.
GGAAGUAAAGUCGUAACAAGGUCUCCGUAGGUGAACCUGCGGAGGGAUCAUUACAGAGUUCAUGCCCUACCGGGUAGAUCUCCCACCCUAUGUUAUUAUUACUUUGCUGCUUUGGCGGGCCGUUAGGCUCCGGCCCGACUACCGGCCCCGGCUGGUAAGCGCCCGCCAGAGGACCCAAAACCCUGAAUAUUAGUGUCGUCUGAGUACUAUAUAAUAGUUAAAACUUCCAACAACGGAUCUCUUGGUUCUG